UACGUAGGGUGCGAGCGUUGUCCGGAAUUACUGGGCGUAAAGAGCUCGUAGGUGGUUUGUCGCGUUGUUCGUGAAAUCUCACGGCUUAACUGUGAGCGUGCGGGCGAUACGGGCAGACUAGAGUACUGCAGGGGAGACUGGAAUUCCUGGUGUAGCGGUGGAAUGCGCAGAUAUCAGGAGGAACACCGGUGGCGAAGGCGGGUCUCUGGUACGUGACUGACGCUGAGACGCGAAAGCGUGGGGAGCAAACAGG
Molecule: ribosomal RNA, 253 nt
Filed under: uncultured bacterium
Lineage: Bacteria
Description: partial 16S ribosomal RNA
Rfam family: Bacterial small subunit ribosomal RNA
Source: RNAcentral